Molecule: long non-coding RNA, 2486 nt
Filed under: Haliotis rufescens (red abalone)
Lineage: Eukaryota; Metazoa; Mollusca; Gastropoda; Lepetellida; Haliotidae
Description: uncharacterized LOC125384172
Source: RNAcentral
CUGAGCCCAAAACGAGGCGACCCGGAAGAACUCUUUGAAAAACAACGCGAUCACCGACUAACCUCCACUGGUGUGUGCCGCAAUGCACAAGCGAUUCAAGAUAUGAAGGGAACGUUAUUUUCCAUGCCUUGCCCAAAACAGACGCUAUGGGGAGGAAAUGGAUAGUACCUAUCUGCAGAGAUGAAAACCCAUUAUUCAAGUAUGACAUUGACCUACUUAGCCGGAAAAAGGUCACAUGUUGAUAGAUAUCCAAAAGCACUGUGUCGGAAGGAGAGUGUUAACAGGCAGGUGAACUGAGAAUAAAGGAAGGAGAGUGUUAACAGGCAUGUGAACUGAGAAUAAAGGAAGAAGAGUGUUAACAGGUAUGUGAACUGAGAAUAAAGGAAGGAGAGUGUUAACAAGCAUGUGAACUGAGAAUAAAGGAAGGAGAGUGUAAACAGGCUGAGAAUAAAGGAAGAAGAGUGUUAACAGGCAUGUGAACUGAGAAUAAAGGAAGAAGAGUGUUAACAGACAGGUGAACUGAGAAUAAAGGAAGGAGAGCGUUAACAGGCUGAGAAUAAAGGAAGAAGAGUGUUAUCAGGCAGAUGAACUGAGAAGAAAGGAAGAAGAGUGUUAACAGGCUGAGAAUAAAGGAAGGAGAGUGUUAACAGGCAGGUGAACUGAGAAUAAAGGAAGAAGAGUGUUAACAGACAGGUGAACUGAGAAUAAAGGAAGGAGAGUGUUAACAGGCUGAGAAUAAAGGAAGGAGAGUGUUAACAGGCAUGUGAACUGAGAAUAAAGGAAGGAGAGGGUUAACAGGUAUGUGAACUGAGAAUAAAGGAAGGAGAGUGUUAACAAGUAUGUGAACUGAGAAUAAAGGAAGGAGAGUGUAAACAGGCUGAGAAUAAAGGAAGAAGAGUGUCAACAGGCAUGUGAACUGAGAAUAAAGGAAGGAGAGGGUUAACAGGCAGGUGAACUGAGAAUAAAGGAAGGAGAGUGUAAACAGGCUGGGAAUAAAGGAAGAAGAGUGUUAACAGGCAUGUGAACUGAGAAUAAAGGAAGAAGAGUGUUAACAGGCAUGUGAACUGAGAAUAAAGGAAGAAGAGUGUUAACAGACAGGUUAACUGAGAAUAAAGGAAGGAGAGUGUUAACAGGCUGAGAAUAAAGGAAGGAGAGUGUUAACAGGCAUAUGAACUGAGAAUAAAGGAAGGAGAGGGUUAACAGGUAUGUGAACUGAGAAUAAAGGAAGGAGAGUGUUAACAAGUAUGUGAACUGAGAAUAAAGGAAGGAGAGUGUAAACAGGCUGAGAAUAAAGGAAGAAGAGUGUUAACAGGCAUGUGAACUGAGAAUAAAGGAAGAAGAGUGUUAACAGGCAGGUGAACUGAGAAUAAAGGAAGAAGAGUGUUAACAGGCAUGUGAACUGAGAAUAAAGGAAGGAGAGGGUUAACAGGCAUGUGAACUGAGAAUAAAGGAAGAAGAGUGUUAACAGGCAUGUGAACUGAGAAUAAAGGAAGAAUAGUGUUAACAGGCAUGUGAACUGAGAAUACAGGAAGAAGAGUGUUAACAGGCAGAUGAACUGAGAAUAAAGGAAGAAGAGUGUUAACAGGCUGAGAAUAAAGGAAGGAGAGUGUUAACAGGCAUGUGAACUGAGAAUAAAGGAAGAAGAGUGUUAACAGACAGGUGAACUGAGAAUAAAGGAAGGAGAGUGUUAACAGGCUGAGAAUAAAGGAAGAAGAGUGUUAUCAGGCAGAUGAACUGAGAAUAUAGGAAGAAGAGUGUUAAUAGGCGGAUGAACUGAGAAUAAAGGAAGAAGAGUGUUAACAGGUGGGUGAACUGAGAAUAAAGGAAGAACAGUGUUAACAGGCAUAUAAAAUGAGAAUAAAGGUAGAAGAGUGUAAACAGGCAGAUGAACUGAGAAUAAAGGAAGGAGAGUGUUAACAGGCAUGUGAACUGAGAAUAAAGGAAGAAGAGUGUUAACAGGCAUGUGAACUGAGAAUAAAGGAAGAAGAGUGUUAACAGGCAGGUGAACUGAGAAUAAAGGAAGAAGAGUGUUAACAGGCAUGUGAACUGAGAAUAAAGGAAGAAGAGUGUUAACAGGCAGGUGAACUGAGAAUAAAGGAAGGAGAGUGUUAACAGGCAUGUGAACUGAGAAUAAAGGAAGAAGAGUGUUAACAGGCAUGUGAACUGAGAAUAAAGGAAGAAGAGUGUUAACAAGCAGGUGAACUGAGAAUAAAGGAAGAAGAGUGUUAACAGGCAUGUGAACUGAGAAUAAAGGAAGGAGAGUGUUAACAGGCAGGUGAACUGAGAAUAAAGGAAGGAGAGUGUAAAGAGGCUGGGAAUAAAGGAAGAAGAGUGUUAACAGGCAGAUGAACUGAGAAUAAAGGAAGGAAAGUGUUAACAGGCAUGUGAACUGAGAAUAAAGGAAGAAGAGUGUUAUCAGGCGGCUGAACUGAGAAUAAAGGAAGAAGAGUGUUAUCAGGCGGCUGAACUGGGAAUCUAGGACGAAG